Molecule: ribosomal RNA, 418 nt
Filed under: Bacillota bacterium
Lineage: Bacteria; Bacillati; Bacillota
Also listed under: 1 other name
Description: Firmicutes bacterium partial 16S ribosomal RNA
Rfam family: Bacterial small subunit ribosomal RNA
Source: RNAcentral
CAAGGAAUCUUCCGCAAUGGGGGCAACCCUGACGGAGCAACGCCGCGUGGGGGAUGACGCCCUUCGGGGUGUAAACCCCUUUUCUGCGGGAAGAAGGUGGGGCAACCCACUUGACGGUACCGGAGGAAGAAGGACCGGCUAACUACGUGCCAGCAGCCGCGGUAAUACGUAGGGUCCGAGCGUUGUCCGGAGUUACUGGGCGUAAAGCGCGCGCAGGCGGCGGUGCUGGCCCGGCGUGAAAGCCCCCGGCUCAACCGGGGAGGGUCGUCGGGGACCGCACCGCUUGAGGGCGGUAGGGGCUGGUGGAAUGCCUGGUGUAGUGGUGAAAUGCGUAGAGAUCAGGCGGAACACCCGUGGCGAAGGCGGCCAGCUGGGCCGUCCCUGACGCUGAGGCGCGAAGGCGUGGGGAGCGAACGGG